GCAUAUCAAUAAGCGGAGGAAAAGAAACUAACUAGGAUUCCCUUAGUAACGGCGAGUGAACCGGGAAAAGCUCAAAUUUGUAAUCUGGCUGUCUUCGAUAGUCCGAGUUGUAAUCUAUAGACGUGUUUUCCGUGCUGGACCGUAUCUAAGUCCCUUGGAACAGGGUAUCAAAGAGGGUGACAAUCCCGUGCUUGAUACGACCACCAGUGCUCUGUGAUACACGCUCUACGAGUCGAGUUGUUUGGGAAUGCAGCUCAAAAUGGGUGGUAAAUUCCAUCUAAAGCUAAAUAUUGGCGAGAGACCGAUAGCGAACAAGUACCGUGAGGGAAAGAUGAAAAGCACUUUGGAAAGAGAGUUAAACAGUACGUGAAAUUGUUGAAAGGGAAACGAUUGAAGUCAGUCGUGUUCUUUGGAUUCAGCUAGUUCUUCUAGUCUACUUCCAUUGAACGGGUCAACAUCAGUUUUGUCCGGUGGAUAAAGAUAGUAGGAAUGUAGCUCCCCCGGGAGUGUUAUAGACUAUUAUUGCAUACACUGGGUGAGACUGAGGACUGCAGCUCGCCUUUUGGCCGGUCUUCGGACACGUUCGAGCUUAGGAUGUUGACAUAAUGGCUUUAAACGACCCGUCUUGAAACACGGACC
This 639-nucleotide ribosomal RNA is filed under the name Cutaneotrichosporon mucoides. RNAcentral's name for it is "eukaryotic LSU rRNA". It matches the Rfam family "Eukaryotic large subunit ribosomal RNA", at positions 38 to 667 of the family's 3401-position model. Lineage: Eukaryota; Fungi; Basidiomycota; Tremellomycetes; Trichosporonales; Trichosporonaceae. RNAcentral also lists the same sequence under 1 other name. The record is from RNAcentral.